AGUGAACGCUGGCGGUAGGCCUAACACAUGCAAGUCGAACGGCAGAACAGUACUUGCUUCCUGUUACAGGGGCCGAGUGGCGGGUGGGUCCGAGGAACAUCCCUAUCUACUUUUUCGUGGGGGAUAACGUGGGGGCUAAUACGCCAUAACUGCAUACGACCUACGGGUGGGAGCAGGGGACCUUACGCUAUCACGUGAGUCUAUGUCGGAUUAGCUAGUUGGCGGGGUAAAGGCCUACCAAGGCGACGAUCCGUAACUGGUCUGAGAGGAUGAUCAGCCACACUGGAACUGAGACACGGUCCAGACUCCUACGGGAGGCAGCAGUGGGGAAUAUUGGACAAUGGGCGCAAGCCUGAUCCAGCCAUGCCGCGUGUGUGAAGAAGGCCUUCGGAUUGUAAAGCCCUUUUGUUGGGAAAGAAAAGCAGCAGGUUAAUACCCCGCUGUUCUGACGUUACCCAAAGAAUAAGCACCGGCUAACUUCGUG
This 484-nucleotide ribosomal RNA is filed under the name uncultured bacterium. RNAcentral's name for it is "partial 16S ribosomal RNA". It matches the Rfam family "Bacterial small subunit ribosomal RNA", at positions 29 to 507 of the family's 1533-position model. The record is from RNAcentral.